CUACCUGCCACUGCCAGGUGGCUAGCCUGGCCAUCUGCCCACUCUCCUCACUGCAGAGCCCUCUGCACCCUCAGCCCUGGGGCGGGGGGUGGUAGCCCUCUGCCCAACCCCCACCUCCACUGGGAGUAUCUCCCUCCUCCAUUUAUGGCUACUUUUUUUCAAACCAAAAUGUAGCCUGUCAAGGAUUUUGUUUUCUUACUUGCAAAUUGAAAGGAAAAUUCUUACCAAGCUAUAAAAAUCAAUUCGCCUUAAUUACAGUGCACUUUUAAUUCACCACCAUCAUAAGAAAGAAGCAACUGUGUCGUGGACUUUGCUGGAUCAGAAUGAGGGUCACGGCUGCUGGUGCAAUGCCAUACCUGGCAAUAUGGCCCCAUCCUGGUGACAGAUUGUGAGAUAGGUUCUGGCCCCACUCGAAGAGGAGGAAGAGCUUAAGUGCUUGCCAGGGCCAGAGAUCUGGAAUGAGAGGAGAAGGGGUCUCCAUAAUUGUGUACCAGAUGUCAUUGAGGACUGAGACGUGCCAAAGUGGGGGAAGGCAUGGAAAAACCACUAAGAAAUCAGGACAGAUGAAAGAACUACAUGUGAAGGAAAGACAGAGACCCAAAGCAUGGGGACAGCAGCUAUAGCACUGGGGAGCCUUAGCCUAUUCUGGUGACAUCAGAAGUCUGGCACCACUCGGGUCAACCAAUGCCCUUCUACCCAAAAUAUCAUUGUUCCUUAUUAACAUCUCCUUUUAGAUCAUUCUCCUAACUAUCAACUCCAGGGAGGAAGGCUCUGCAUUAGUUCUGCCAUUUUGCUGGUGAAUGGUAACUUUAUGUCCCUCCCGGCUGACCUCCGUCUUCACAGGCAGGAGAAGUAUGGAGCCUGCAGGGGCUGGUCCCAGCCCCACAUUUUGGUGGAGCCCUAUCUCUGCCUCUUUCCCCACUGGGUGGGAUGAGGGGAGGCAGAGCUGCCCGAGCCAGGUCAAAGAGGAUGGCUCUCAACGGGACAAGAGGUGCCCCUGGUCACCAGGAAGCAGCCCAACCUUCUUGGCCAGGCACCCUCAUCUGCACUUGCCAGCCACACUUCCCAGGCCAAGGCCACUGGCUUGGACCCAUUGUCCAGGAGAACUGGCACCUUGGAAACCAACCCUCACGCUCUCAGAGAAAGAUGAGCCUCAUCUCCAGGACCUGUGCCCAAGGAGCCCACUUCAUUUAGCGGAUGCCAUGUUGUGCUGGUAUCGUGCCUGGACCCAGCCUCCACCAUCAGACUGAGAGGUCCCUAAAGACAAGCUGUGGAUCUGUCUUCCCUCUACUUGUAUAAAGUCAUUCCCAAGACUGUUUCUUACUUAUUAUUUUCUUUGCAAUACACUACCAUCCUCCUGACCCCCCCCAAAAUGAAUUGAUACUCUCUCUCCCACGCAGUCACCUGUCUACCUUCAAUUCCCUCCAUAGACUGACAGAGAUUCACUAUGUGCCUUCUAUUCCACGAAGGAUCUGAGUCUCCCCAUUUCCCAGACGAAGAAAGCAAGUCUCUGAGAGGUUGGGUGACUUGCCUGUCAGGAAAUACUUGGUCCUAGACCUCUGGCCUCCCCGUCUGGGGUCCUUUCCCGCAGACAACCUCGCCAUGGCCUCCUGGUGUUCACCCCAAGUAAUAUCCAGGAGCUGGGACAGGAACUGGGACAAAGAGGAGGACACUGGGGCCUGGGUCUUGACCCCAAGUUCCUAUUUAUAAUCCUUAUUCCGGAGACGGCCACUUAAACACACAUUCCUGAUAACUGAAUAAUCUUUGGCACCGAGCAAAAAAUAGCCUGUGGCCCAGACCACAAUUGCACAGCUGGAGCAGGGUGAGCAGGGGCGACGUGGGGCUGGAUGGUGCAGGACGGGCUACGGGCCGGGCCUGGGACAAGUGAGUGGGACUGCAAAUAUAGCCAGUUAAAUAUAGCCUGCCGACCUGGACACGGGGCCAGCCUCCUCUGUAGGGAACGUUUCCCAAAUCGGCUUGGAUCUCCUUUUCCCAAAGGAAGGGAGAACCAAAGGCCUGGAGAGGAGGGGCUGGAGGAGCCCUGACAGCUCUGGAGAAAUCUGCAAACAGACGGGACCAAGAGCAGCAGCCCUGCUGGUAUCUUCUGGAAGUGCCAAUCUGACGGGGGAGGAGGAACCAUGCCCUGAGGCAGAUAACAGACGUUCUUAUGCCCCAAACUGGCUGGUCAAGACCCCACGCAGCUUCCAACUCCAGGAGGACAGAUGCUGAGGCCUCUUCUUCAAGAAGCCUCAGGCCAGGGCAGAAAAGGAAGGGAGAGACAUGGAACGUUCUGGAGUCCAGAGCCCUGAGGGAACUCGGAAGCAAGCAGGGGGCCUCCUUCAGAUGGGGGGCCUCAGAGAGAAUAGCCAUGGAGCCUCCUUCCUCAGCGUCCCCCUAGAGCAGGAUCCUGGACCAGCAGGCCCCAGGUUGAUGCCAAGGUGUUGCGAAGGCGGACAUUCUUGGCAAAUAUUUCUCUGCUCCCGAUGCUUCCCUCCCACCACCCACCAGAUGCUCCGCUGACAUUCUGGGAGGGCCAGCAGUGGCUUACUCAGUUGAGGAUAAACCUCCUCACCCAUCCGCUACGGGACACCACACAAAGGCAUCUUGCCUCAGCGCCUCUGCUGCCACUGUCCCCUGAAAACUGCCUCCAUGCCCUGGUGUCCCCAAGGUCACCAAGCCUGCAGAAAGCCAAACUCUACUCCUUUCCUUCCAAUCCUCCUGGGCUAUGAGUCAUCAGAGCCCCACAGAGAAACAAGGAGAACAUUCCUAUCCCCCUUACUGGGCCAUGGGUCCCCAGGUGUCACUGCCUGUGCCCCAAGUCCCACAAAGUUCAGCAGUUUCUCUCUGUCAAGGGUAAGCCCCACACUGAGCACACUGCUUGUCCCCUCUUCAACAGCCUUCCAAUUGGGGGCAGUCCCCCUUGGGUGUGGGAAGGAAUGCCACACUCCCCACUUCAGAAGGGGAGGGUGCCAGGGACAGGUCCUCCGUGCAGCUCAGCAGGGAGUACAUCAAGAGGGACCCCUCAGCCCCCGGGCUGCAGCCAUCAGGUGAUCUACAACGGUGUGGGAAAGUGGUUGGUCAUGCAGGCCUGGUGCAGCCAAAUCUGGGAUCCCAGGGUGGGACACAGGCCCUUCAUUUCACAAAGAUGCCCCAGAGCCCACCGUUUGCCAGGUGGUUUGCUCGUCACCAUGGGUACCAGGGAGCAUGAGGCCCAGGAGCUGCUCCGGCAGCUGCUCGCAGUCAGCUGUGCUGAGAGGGAUGACGGAGGAUGGCAGAAAACUGAGCCAGUGGGGACAGGUAGCAGGAUGGCCUCUGAAGGCCAGGGAGGCAGAGGAGACAAAGGAUUCCAGACAGGGACCUGUGCGUUAAAGGCCCAGAGUGAGAGGAGGAGAGGCUGUUUAGGGAUGCGAGUGGAAGAGGAGCUGUGUGGUUGGUGCUGAGACAGAUGGAGGAUGCAGGAUGAGGCUGGAGGAGGGAGAGGGGGCCAGAUCAAGCCUUGGACUUCAUGGACAGGGGAAUCCUCCUGCGGGGGCGGGGGGGGGGGGUUCACAGGGAACCAUGGAAGAGUUUUCAGAGGGGGUUACCCCCUGAUCUGUUUCAAAGUCAGAAGGGUCCUUUGGCCACAGUAUGGAGAGUGGGUGGAAGGAGGCCUGGACGGGAUGUGGGCAGACCAGUUAGGAGGCACAGGCAGAUGCCCAGGGAAGCCACGGUGGUAGCCGGAACCCAGGCGAUGGGGGCAGGGAGUAAAGAGAGCUGGGCAGUCCUGAGAUGUAUUUAGGAAAUAAAAACGUUAAGAUGUGAUGAGCAUGCAGAUGUGGGAGAGGAAAGAUGGAGAGAAGCAGAACAUUCACCCAUUCAUUCAUUCCUUCCUUCCUACAUUCGUUUAGCAGCUAUACCGCGAACUUCUAGCCCGUGGGAAGUUCUUUGCUCAGCACUAGAAAUACAGGAGUGAGCGAGAUAAGGGGGCCUCUGCUCUCAGGGUUUAUACAGCAGGGGCAUAGGGAGGACGUAAAAUAAAUACAUAAACAGAUUCAACAUUGCUCUAGGUAGUGGCAAAUGCUCUGAAGGUAAUAAAACAGGAUAAAUAAUAGAGUGGCUUGGGGAAAGGGCCUGCCUUCGAUGGGAUGUUCUUAGAAGCCAUUUCCAGAGAAGAGAAUUGAAAGGCAAAGGCUGAGUGGGGAAGAACUUGCUGUUUUUGAGGAACAGAGGAAAGACCUAGGGUGGAGUGAAUGAAAAGAAGCUUGGAGAAAAAUGGGAUUCUGGACGCUUAGGCCGCAGCCAGAUCCUGCAGGCUGUGGUGAGGCAUCUCAAGUUUAUUCUAAAUGAAAUCAGGAGUCACUGAGGAAUUUUAAUUAAACAGGGGAGGGACGUUAAUGAUUUUAGCUUUUUUGAAAGAUUGUUUCAGCUGUUUUAGGAGAAAACAGUAUUAGUUUUCGAGGGAUGGUGUAGCGAAAAGACACAAACUAUCUGCCUAAAACAAUAUUGAUUGUCUCACAGUACUGGAGGCUCGAAGUCCAAGAUCAAGGUGUUGGCAUGGCUGGUUGCUUCUGAGGGCUUGAGGGAGACUCUGUUCCAUGACUCUUUCCUAGAUCCUAGUGGGUUACUGGUAAUUUCGGGCUUUUCUUUAUUGUAGAAACCUCACCCCAACCUCUGCCUUCAUUUCCACACACAGUCUCCCUGUGUGUCCUGAUUUCCCUUUCAUUAAGGACACCAAUCAUACUGGGUUAGGGCCCACCCUAGUGACCUCAUCGUACUAAUUAAUUACAUCUGCAAAGACUCUACUUCCAAAUAAGGGCUCAUUCUGAGGUACUGGAGUUAGGAGUUCAACGUAUGAAUUUGGAGGGGGACACAAUUCAACCCCUAAGAGUGGCGUGGCAUCCUAUGCUUGGUAAGUAUCCUUGGAUACCAGGGAUCUUAGGUAGUUAUACUGUUGAGUAUCCAGCGAAGAACUAGUUGGGGGUGAUGGUCUUUGUUGAGAUGUUAAUACUGAAGAGGAGCCAGUGUGGGAGGAAAUGACAAGCUCACCUUUGAAUAUGAUGAUUUUGAGGUGAUUCCAGAGGAAUAUCCAGUAAAUAACUGGACAUAAUGCUACAGGGCACAGGAGAGGAGUUGGGGCUAGAGAUGUGGAUUUGGGAGCCAUGUGUAUCCCAGGAAGUAAAGUCAAGGAAAUAGGUGAGGUCAUUGGGAAGCAUGUAGAGGAAAAACAAAACCAAUACUUGGGGGCUCUAUCUACCCUAAAGAACACUGACAUUUGGAGUUCCCAUCGUGGCACAGCGGAAACAAAUCUGACUAGGAACCAUGAGGUUGCAGAUUCGAUCCAUGGCCUCGCUCUUGUGGGUUAAGGAUCCAGCGUUGCCAUGAGCUGUGGUGUAGGUCGCAGACGCAGCUUGGAUCCUGCAUUGCUGUGGCUGUGGUGUAGGCCAGUGGCUACAGCUGUGAUUCGACCCCUAGCCUGGGAACCUCCAUAUGCUACAGGUGCAGCCCUAAAAAGACAAAAGCCAAAAAAAAAAAAAAAAAAAAAAAAAAAAA
Molecule: long non-coding RNA, 5529 nt
Filed under: Sus scrofa (pig)
Lineage: Eukaryota; Metazoa; Chordata; Mammalia; Artiodactyla; Suidae
Description: lncRNA (ENSSSCG00060058480.1)
Source: RNAcentral